UAAGGAAUAUUGCUCAAUGGGAGAAAUCCUGAAGCAGCCACGCCGCGUGGAGGAUGAAGGGUCUAUGACUUGUAAACUCCUGUAAAGAAGGAAAAAAUUCCCAUUAGAUGGGAGAUGAUGGUACUUCUGGAGUAAGCCCCGGCUAACUACGCGUCACCAGCCGCGGUAAUACGUAGGGGGCACGCGUUGUCCGGAUUUACUGGGGGUAAAGGGUGCUCAGGCGGAUUUGUAAGUCAGAGGUGAAAUCUUACAGCUUAACUGUGAAACUGCCUUUGAUACUGCAAGGCUAGAGUAUGGAAGAGAGUGAUGGAAUAUCUGGUGUAGCAGUGAAAUGCAUAGAUAUCAGAUAGAACACCAAUGGCGAAGGCAGUCAGUUGGUCCAUUACUGACGCUGAAGCACGAAAGCGUGGGUAGCAAACA
Molecule: ribosomal RNA, 420 nt
Filed under: uncultured bacterium
Lineage: Bacteria
Description: bacterial SSU rRNA
Rfam family: Bacterial small subunit ribosomal RNA
Source: RNAcentral